RNAcentral lists this ribosomal RNA (884 nucleotides) under Hazslinszkyomyces lycii. RNAcentral describes it as "eukaryotic LSU rRNA". It matches the Rfam family "Eukaryotic large subunit ribosomal RNA", at positions 63 to 963 of the family's 3401-position model. The record is from RNAcentral. Lineage: Eukaryota; Fungi; Ascomycota; Dothideomycetes; Pleosporales; Coniothyriaceae.
AACCAACAGGGAUUGCCCUAGUAACGGCGAGUGAAGCGGCAACAGCUCAAAUUUGAAAUCUGGCUCUUUUAGGGUCCGAGUUGUAAUUUGCAGAGGGCGCUUUGGCGUUGGCAGCGGUCCAAGUUCCUUGGAACAGGACGUCACAGAGGGUGAGAAUCCCGUACGUGGUCGCUAUCCUUCGCUGUGUAAAGCCCCUUCGACGAGUCGAGUUGUUUGGGAAUGCAGCUCUAAAUGGGAGGUAAAUUUCUUCUAAAGCUAAAUACUGGCCAGAGACCGAUAGCGCACAAGUAGAGUGAUCGAAAGAUGAAAAGCACUUUGGAAAGAGAGUCAAAUAGCACGUGAAAUUGUUGAAAGGGAAGCGCUUGCAGCCAGACUUGCCUGUAGUUGCUCAUCCGGGCUUUUGCCCGGUGCACUCUUCUGCGGGCAGGCCAGCAUCAGUUUGGGCGGUUGGAUAAAGGUCUCUGUCAUGUACCUCUCUUCGGGGAGGCCUUAUAGGGGAGACGCCAUGCAACCAGCCUGGACUGAGGUCCGCGCAUUUUUGCUAGGAUGCUGGCGUAAUGGCUGUAAGCGGCCCGUCUUGAAACACGGACCAAGGAGUCUAACAUCUAUGCGAGUGUUUGGGUGUCAAGCCCGAGCGCGCAAUGAAAGUGAACGGAGGUGGGACCCCAUUAGGGUGCACCAUCGACCGAUCCUGAAGUCUUCGGAUGGAUUUGAGUAAGAGCAUGGCUGUUGGGACCCGAAAGAUGGUGAACUAUGCUUGAAUAGGGUGAAGCCAGAGGAAACUCUGGUGGAGGCUCGCAGCGGUUCUGACGUGCAAAUCGAUCGUCAAAUUUGGGCAUAGGGGCGAAAGACUAAUCGAACUAUCUAGUAGCUGGUUCCUGCCG